RNAcentral lists this ribosomal RNA (433 nucleotides) under uncultured bacterium. RNAcentral describes it as "bacterial SSU rRNA". It matches the Rfam family "Bacterial small subunit ribosomal RNA", at positions 99 to 520 of the family's 1533-position model. The record is from RNAcentral.
CGAACGGGUGAGUAACACGUGGGUAAUCCACCCUCGGCACCGGAAUAGCCCGGGGAAACCCGGAUUAAUGCCGGAUGGCCCGUCGACCCUUCGGGGCUGACGGAAAAGGUAGCUUCGGCCUCCGGCCGGGGACGAGCCCGCGACGGAUUAGCUUGUUGGUGGGGUAACGGCCUACCAAGGCUCCGAUCCGUAGCUGGUCUGAGAGGACGAUCAGCCACACUGGGACUGAGACACGGCCCAGACUCCUACGGGAGGCAGCAGUGGGGAAUCUUGCGCAAUGGGCGAAAGCCUGACGCAGCGACGCCGCGUGAGGGAAGAAGGCCUUCGGGUUGUAAACCUCUUUCAGGAGGGACGAAGCCACUCGGGUUAAUAGCCCAGAGGGUGACGGUACCUCCAGAAGAAGCCCCGGCUAACUACGUGCCAGCCGCCGCGG